RNAcentral lists this ribosomal RNA (1308 nucleotides) under Curtobacterium sp. VKM Ac-2865. Its description in RNAcentral is "bacterial SSU rRNA". It matches the Rfam family "Bacterial small subunit ribosomal RNA", at positions 215 to 1533 of the family's 1533-position model. Lineage: Bacteria; Bacillati; Actinomycetota; Actinomycetes; Micrococcales; Microbacteriaceae. The record is from RNAcentral.
UUGGUUGGGGAUGGACUCGCGGCCUAUCAGCUUGUUGGUGAGGUAAUGGCUCACCAAGGCGACGACGGGUAGCCGGCCUGAGAGGGUGACCGGCCACACUGGGACUGAGACACGGCCCAGACUCCUACGGGAGGCAGCAGUGGGGAAUAUUGCACAAUGGGCGAAAGCCUGAUGCAGCAACGCCGCGUGAGGGAUGACGGCCUUCGGGUUGUAAACCUCUUUUAGUAGGGAAGAAGCGAAAGUGACGGUACCUGCAGAAAAAGCACCGGCUAACUACGUGCCAGCAGCCGCGGUAAUACGUAGGGUGCAAGCGUUGUCCGGAAUUAUUGGGCGUAAAGAGCUCGUAGGCGGUUUGUCGCGUCUGCUGUGAAAUCCCGAGGCUCAACCUCGGGCUUGCAGUGGGUACGGGCAGACUAGAGUGCGGUAGGGGAGAUUGGAAUUCCUGGUGUAGCGGUGGAAUGCGCAGAUAUCAGGAGGAACACCGAUGGCGAAGGCAGAUCUCUGGGCCGUAACUGACGCUGAGGAGCGAAAGCAUGGGGAGCGAACAGGAUUAGAUACCCUGGUAGUCCAUGCCGUAAACGUUGGGCGCUAGAUGUAGGGACCUUUCCACGGUUUCUGUGUCGUAGCUAACGCAUUAAGCGCCCCGCCUGGGGAGUACGGCCGCAAGGCUAAAACUCAAAGGAAUUGACGGGGGCCCGCACAAGCGGCGGAGCAUGCGGAUUAAUUCGAUGCAACGCGAAGAACCUUACCAAGGCUUGACAUACACCGGAAACGGCCAGAGAUGGUCGCCCCCUUGUGGUCGGUGUACAGGUGGUGCAUGGUUGUCGUCAGCUCGUGUCGUGAGAUGUUGGGUUAAGUCCCGCAACGAGCGCAACCCUCGUUCUAUGUUGCCAGCGGGUCAUGCCGGGGACUCAUAGGAGACUGCCGGGGUCAACUCGGAGGAAGGUGGGGAUGACGUCAAAUCAUCAUGCCCCUUAUGUCUUGGGCUUCACGCAUGCUACAAUGGCCGGUACAAAGGGCUGCGAUACCGUAAGGUGGAGCGAAUCCCAAAAAGCCGGUCUCAGUUCGGAUUGAGGUCUGCAACUCGACCUCAUGAAGUCGGAGUCGCUAGUAAUCGCAGAUCAGCAACGCUGCGGUGAAUACGUUCCCGGGCCUUGUACACACCGCCCGUCAAGUCAUGAAAGUCGGUAACACCCGAAGCCGGUGGCCUAACCCUUGUGGAAGGAGCCGUCGAAGGUGGGAUCGGUGAUUAGGACUAAGUCGUAACAAGGUAGCCGUACCGGAAGGUGCGGCUGGAUCACCUCCUUU